GGCCGUAACUAUAACGGUCCUAAGGUAGCGAAAUUCCUUGUCGGGUAAGUUCCGACCCGCACGAAAGGCGUAACGAUUUGGGCACUGUCUCAACGAGAGACUCGGUGAAAUCAUAGUACCUGUGAAGAUGCAGGUUACCCGCGACAGGACGGAAAGACCCCGUGGAGCUUUACUGUAGCCUGAUAUUGAAAUUCGGCACAGCUUGUACAGGAUAGGUAGGAGCCUUUGAAACGUGAGCGCUAGCUUACGUGGAGGCGCUGGUGGGAUACUACCCUAGCUGUGUUGGCUUUCUAACCCGCACCACUUAUCGUGGUGGGAGACAGUGUCAGGCGGGCAGUUUGACUGGGGCGGUCGCCUCCUAAAAGGUAACGGAGGCGCUCAAAGGUUCCCUCAGAAUGGUUGGAAAUCAUUCAUAGAGUGUAAAGGCAUAAGGGAGCUUGACUGCGAGACCUACAAGUCGAG
RNAcentral lists this ribosomal RNA (462 nucleotides) under Staphylococcus aureus. RNAcentral's name for it is "partial 23S ribosomal RNA". It matches the Rfam family "Bacterial large subunit ribosomal RNA", at positions 1932 to 2393 of the family's 2925-position model. Lineage: Bacteria; Bacillati; Bacillota; Bacilli; Caryophanales; Staphylococcaceae. The record is from RNAcentral.